AUGCACGCUGGCGGCGUGCCUCAUACAUGCAAGUCGAGCGAACAGACGAGGAGCUUGCUCCUUUGACGUUAGCGGCGGACGGGUGAGUAACACGUGGAUAACCUACCUAUAAGACUGGGAUAACUUCGGGAAACCGGAGCUAAUACCGGAUAACAUGUUGAACCGCAUGGUUCAACAGUGAAAGACGGUCUUGCUGUCACUUAUAGAUGGAUCCGCGCCGCAUUAGCUAGUUGGUAAGGUAACGGCUUACCAAGGCAACGAUGCGUAGCCGACCUGAGAGGGUGAUCGGCCACACUGGAACUGAGACACGGUCCAGACUCCUACGGGAGGCAGCAGUAGGGAAUCUUCCGCAAUGGGCGAAAGCCUGACGGAGCAACGCCGCGUGAGUGAAGAAGGUCUUCGGAUCGUAAAACUCUGUUAUUAGGGAAGAACAAAUGUGUAAGUAACUAUGCACGUCUUGACGGUACCUAAUCAGAAAGCCACGGCUAACUACGUG
Molecule: ribosomal RNA, 496 nt
Filed under: uncultured bacterium
Lineage: Bacteria
Description: partial 16S ribosomal RNA
Rfam family: Bacterial small subunit ribosomal RNA
Source: RNAcentral